Nannospalax galili (Upper Galilee mountains blind mole rat) is the source of this 147-nucleotide small nucleolar RNA. Lineage: Eukaryota; Metazoa; Chordata; Mammalia; Rodentia; Spalacidae. The record is from Ensembl.
UGAUAGCUGUUCCUCUUACUGCUUGGAGCCUAAGCAGUAGGAUUUGGUCUAUCAUAUACAAAGCUGGCUUGUCUUCACUCAGGGCACCAUGAGGAUAGGUGGGCUAUCCACACUAGUGCCUUCUGAUUUUUGCCAAGUCAAACAAUU